Neopelma chrysocephalum (saffron-crested tyrant-manakin) is the source of this 3369-nucleotide long non-coding RNA. RefSeq lists it as uncharacterized. The transcript has 3 exons. The record is from RefSeq and is a predicted model, not a curated record. NCBI's taxonomy places the organism in Eukaryota, Metazoa, Chordata, Aves, Passeriformes, Pipridae.
UGGAACAGAUCAGAAGAUCAGAAGAUGCAAGAUGUGAUGACUAACAGUAAAAGUCUUAUGCUCCAUGUAGGAGGAGCAGAUGGUAGUUAUACCAACUAACACUGGUAACAAUUUUCAAGGGCUAGACAUUUGUUUUCAAUUGAAGAGCUUCCAGAGGGAGAAGUUGGAAACAGAAGUACCCAGCACAUAUACCCCUGAGAUGAGCUGACAAAUUCAAAUGCUUCCUGAAUACAAGACACAACCUAAUCAGAAGAGCUCUGCAAUGUCUGUGCUGUCUGGUCCUCACUGAUGUAUCAGCCCUGCCCGCAAGGAUUGUGGCCAGAUUGAGCAGAGAGGUAAGAUAAAGGCACAGAAUGCAGAUGUAUGCUAAAUGUCUGUCUCCUUAUCCUCUCUACUGUGCUUCACAGAAGAGGUUUCCCUGUGCCUCCUCACUACCUAAGUGGGUAUAUUGACCAUGAAUCUCAGAUCACGUGUGCCACCACAUUAGCCCAGGCUGCAACCUGCCAACACUGUCCAGCCAAAAGAGCUCUUCCUCAGUAACAAACAUGGAUUCUACUGGGAAAGCAUUAACCAUCCCUCUGGCUCACAGAAGCCAACUGUUCAUUGCCCAGCUGCAGAAAAAGCAUUGUAUCCGCUUCUCAGAAACAGAAUACCUGAAGCAUGGAUAGCAGUUGCUAAGGAAUCACUUUGAGAACAGGCUGACCUGAGAUGCAUGAGCCGUUGUUGUUAUAAUAAGCCUAAACUCUAUCACUAGGCAGAUUCUUGAGUUUUGUUUCAGAGCAGGCUGGGAAAGUUGCAAGUUAGAAACUUGCUAGGACAUAACAGGACAGUGAUUAUUCUGUAGAAAAUGACAUUUAAUCUCAUUCGGUGUAAACAGCCCAGUACAGUUAUCAGUUCCAGCAGCAUCACGAAAGUUAUCCACUUUCAAAUUACACCACUAACUAUUUGUCCAGAGAACUCACCAGGAGCCUGAGGAAAGUCCUCCAUCCAGCAUACCACAAAUACAAUGCAGUUGAGGUAAGGACUACACAGGCAGCUGAUGAGCACUGCAAGCCUUCUCGGCCUAAGAGGACUUUUCAUCACAUUACCCACUCCCACCUCUGUUCCAGAAUUUUCAGUUUGUUACUACCAGUCACCAUUAGUCUUUAUCUAAAUGUCAGUUACGGGGAUUUCCAAGAAAGAGGGGAAGGGGAAUCAGUAAGGAUCACCAUUUAUAAGGAACUGUGUGUUCUGAAAUAAUGUAAGUUCCAAAGUCAAGAAGAUGCUUUAACAAACAAAAGGCUGAUUAACCCCAGGUUGCUUUGGCAUAGAAGAAAAGUGGCCUGGGACAGCAUUGGAAUCUUUCAGCAUCUAUUUCCAAGUCAACAAGAGACAAGCCCCACAAGAAAAAAAUAACAGCUUGAUUCUAUGAUGCAGCUGCCAUCAUGAUAAGCUUUCCAAAGUGCUUUGCAAAAGCUGUCACAAAAAGGACAAUUCUCCUAAAAUACCAUGUGGGCAAGCCACCUAAGCAAACAGAAGGAUGAUUGACUCUGCAGUUCAACUCUUACAGACUGGCUCUGGCUCUGAUCUCUGAGACUUAAAAAGGCCUUAGGCACAGGGCAACUAUAACCUGUUAGAGUGAAAACACUUCUUGCCUGAAUCUCCCUAUAGCACUGAAGACUACAGAUAUUUGGGCUUGUUCCCCAGGCAAGUUCAGUUCCAAGUCAGUUAAUGCAUUUGUUAGCACUUUGAAAUUUUCGGCAUAUUUGCCUGUGUGUAAAUGGCAGCUUUAUGCUGGUAGACUAUCUUUUCUCAGGAGGUACUGUCAGGGAAAAAGACUUCACUGGGGUCGCGUUCCAUUUCUAAUAAAACCUGCACCAUAAUCAAGCAGUUCCCCAAAAGGUACCAUCUCACCUCUCUGGUUAAAAUGAACUGGCUGCCUGAGUCCUAUUUCCUGCCACAGUUCUGUUACUGACAGGAGAGGCUUUUUGAAGUUCACAAAUGAGAACAUCAAAAGCAGCAAGACAAAAAGAAGGGGAGGAGAGCUUCCCUUCCUUCAGUGUAAGAAGAUCAAGUGUGACAAACAGUGACUGGCUCUUAAGAAGGGCAGAAAAAGAGAGAAAUGCCUGUGCAGAAUUCAGGGAGUGUUAGACCUAUUUCCUUGACUGUGAUGUUCAUUAACCCUCCUCUGUGACGGAAAAUAAAAUGUGUGUGACAGCUGGGGUCCAGUCCAUUAGAAACACAAACGGUCCACUAGUGGACCCUGCUGCUGACUUAACUACUGCCCCUGGGAUACAAUACCUGUACAUGCUUGUCCUUGCUCAAUGUACAUGCCUGGCAAAAAAACCCACCCUUUGUCACUGAAUUUCCUCAUACAGAACAGUAAAGAGUGAUUAUUAAAGAGAAAGAAACAACUUCAUUUGCUCAAAACCAGGCUCCAGGUAUUUGGAGAAAUUAUAUUAAAAAACCAUUUACCCUGCUAGUCUGUUCCCAACUACGGUUAUGUUAACCUAGCUACAUUAAGGUCUAAAACCCAGGGUAAGCAAUGCCUGAUUGCAACAGUAAAGGCUGCAAAACAAACCAGACAGUGUCUUUGCUUGCAACCUUCCAGAAACUUGCUACCAUGCUGUGUUCUUAUUGUAAUUUAUUGUGCCAACUGAAUUUUAAAAGGUGUAUGUGUUUUUCUUGGAAGUGUAGCCUUUACUCUCUAACAUGGGAGAUGUUUUUAGGACAGGUAACUGAAUUAAAAAUAGUUUUAAAAUGUAUUUUGUAUCCACCCUGUACCAGGUCUAUAUCUUGGUGAGUCUCAUAUCUGCAUAUUACUGAGCAGCUUCAAUCAUGUAGCCCUCUUGCAGGGAGCACAGCUUUUGGAUGUGCUUUCUGAAGAACAGGGGUCAGGGAUUAGUGUGCUCUGCUGUAUAGGAAGGUAUAAGAAGAAAAGGGAGCUAAAAAUACUGCUUCCAUCAAGAGAUGCAGCAAUGCUAAUUCAGAGCACAGUUAGCCACUUUCUGAGAAAGUCCUUUGACACCCAAGGGAAUCAGACCAGACUGGAUCCAGCAAGUGUAAAUCAACUAGGGUCACAUGUUUUUAAGUGAUAAGGAGACAUUCCUUGUUUCUGUAUGCAGUUAUGAAAUACCUCAUAUCAUAGGAAAACUGGCCUUCAAAGGAAGGAGAUGUGAUUAAGGUAAUUUAUCCUCAAAUAUGGACAACUAGAAUGCAUGUAGCAGAAAGGCUUCCCUGUGGCUUUUGGAAGACCUGAAUCCAAACUCUAGGAGAGGCCAUGCAUGAAAUCUGCUCUCUCUGGCUGCAGCUAGCAUUGCAAUUUAUAACUCAACACGGCCCUUAGGAGGGGGGCAGCUGGAGCUCUGAGCUUUUGCCAUCACUGUGAAA